GGUGGCGGCGCCGGCGGUGGAGGUGGCGGUAGUGGUGAGGGUUGGGGUUGGGGUGGAGGUAGUGGGGGAGGAAGUGGCAAUGUUAAAUGUUGGGUGUGGGGAUGUGAGAAAAAGUUAGAGAAAAGAAGUGGAAUUCGUCCCUCCAGCUCCAAGGGAUAAUCAUGCACACAUGUACGAGCAAAGGAGUUAGUUCUCCUUUCAUGGCUUCAAUAGCUUCACUCUUGUGUUUUCUCUAUUAUUUACCAUUUCUGAUGACCUGGUUUGAACAUAUAUAGUUUCUCGCUUUGAGAAUAAAUUGUCUUUAUUAUUUUUUUUUUUUCGGGGUUGUUGGAUGGUGAUUGGAUUUAUGUAUUUUUCAUACACUUAGUUACAUUUGGGGAAAAGAUGAAUAUAGUGAGGAGUGAGGAGUGAGGAGUGAGUGUUAUGUUAUACAAAAUUUUAUAUGCUACUUGCAUAAUAAAGGGUGAAUUUUGCUUGGCUUUUUUAAGGUGCAAUGCACUGCGUCUUUUCUGGUAUUAAUGUUUUCAAUUCAUCGUUACAACAUUCAAAAGAAUGCAUCAUAUACUUUGUUUUCUGGAGGGGUAAUGUAUUAGAUGCUUAAUUACUAACGAAAUUGGAUCAAGA
Molecule: long non-coding RNA, 624 nt
Filed under: Glycine max (soybean)
Lineage: Eukaryota; Viridiplantae; Streptophyta; Magnoliopsida; Fabales; Fabaceae
Description: long non-coding RNA (GMAX_LNC003714)
Source: RNAcentral